Molecule: ribosomal RNA, 108 nt
Filed under: uncultured eukaryote
Lineage: Eukaryota
Description: partial small subunit ribosomal RNA
Rfam family: Eukaryotic small subunit ribosomal RNA
Source: RNAcentral
UCGCACCUACCGAUUGAAUGGUCCGGUGAAGCCUCGGGAAGGUGACUAGCUCCUUCAUUGGGGUUAAUUACCUAAACUUGUCUAAACCUUAUCAUUUAGAGGAAGGUG